This is a long non-coding RNA of Patella vulgata (common limpet), 1077 nucleotides long. RefSeq lists it as uncharacterized. The transcript is spliced from 3 exons. Lineage: Eukaryota; Metazoa; Mollusca; Gastropoda; Patellidae. The record is from RefSeq and is a predicted model, not a curated record.
ACACCCGGUGAUGAAUCUAGCCAACCAGCAUCUGGUAAUGAAUCAAUCCAACCAACAUCGAAGCAACCAACAACACUAAAAUCUGACCAACCAAUAUCUGCUAUUGAAUCUACGCAACCACCAUAUUCUAGUGAAUCUAACCAACCAACAUCUGGUAGUGAAUCUAACAAACCAGCAACACCAACAUCUAAGAAUGAUAACUCGAUGUCUGCUAUAAUUGGUGGAGCUGUAGGAGGAGUAAUUGUGAUAAUUGUCGUCAUUAUUAUCAUAGUAAUAUGUGUAAUACGUAAGAAGAACGGGGACAAUAUUUAUGACAGUCCAGAAGCUGUAGAGACUGAUCCUCAUCCUUACCAGAGCAUCCACAGAUAACAGACAUGGGGAGAUAACUCCCACUGAUAAACAGAAUAAUGAAUUGGUUAAUCAGGAGAAUGAUCCAUAUACCAGUAUUGAUAAUGAUAUAAUUAAACCUAGCAACGGUAACCAAGGGGUGGAAUAUCUAGAAAAUGAUCUUUACAUUAGUUCUAAUGAUGUCACUGAUGACGUGGUCGUUGAUGAUAAGCUAAAAGCAAAAUUUCCGGUUGUGGCGGAAUACGCCAAGGUUAAAAAAUCUAACACGAACCAAAUCACGAAUGGGAAAUUUAAGUUGGGACCAAUACACUGUUGUAAAUAAAGGUGAGGGGGUGGGGGGUGAUCAAGAUGAUAAAAGUAAUGAACAAUUUAAAAUAGGGCUUAGUGGAAAUAAAUACGCUGUUGUUAAUAAAGAGAGAAAGAAAAACAAGAAUGAAGCCGGGGAAGAAAUUAAAAUAGGACCUAGUGGAGAUCAAUACGCCGUGGUUAAUAAAUCGGGGAGGGAGCAGAAAUAAUUUACCCUUGGGUAGAUUGGUUAAACGAAUGCGAGCUUGUGCAUAAUGAAAACGACUAGCUAUUUUUACACCUUUGUGAAAAAAGUUUAUGAACUGUCAGCAUGUGUAUAUUGAGGUCGAGAACGUUUUUGUAUUUUUUCUAAUUUUAUAUAGAUUUUAUAUUUUAUUUUAUAUUUAGAUUACCUACAUAUAAAACCAAGUUUCUAACAUUUUA